This 451-nucleotide ribosomal RNA is filed under the name uncultured bacterium. Its description in RNAcentral is "bacterial SSU rRNA". It matches the Rfam family "Bacterial small subunit ribosomal RNA", at positions 8 to 507 of the family's 1533-position model. The record is from RNAcentral.
AGAGUUUGAUCAUGGCUCAGAACACGCUGGCGGCAUGCCUAACACAUGCAAGUCGAACGAGACCUUCGGGUCUAGUGGCGCACGGGUGCGUAACGCGUGGGAAUCUGCCCUUCGGUUCGGAACAACAGUUAGAAAUGACUGCUAAUACCGGAUAAUGACGUAAGUCCAAAGAUUUAUCGCCGAAGGAUGAGCCCGCGUAAGAUUAGGUAGUUGGUGGGGUAAUGGCCUACCAAGCCGACGAUCUUUAGCUGGUCUGAGAGGAUGAUCAGCCACACUGGGACUGAGACACGGCCCAGACUCCUACGGGAGGCAGCAGUGGGGAAUAUUGGACAAUGGGCGAAAGCCUGAUCCAGCAAUGCCGCGUGAGUGAUGAAGGCCUUAGGGUUGUAAAGCUCUUUUACCAGGGAUGAUAAUGACAGUACCUGGAGAAUAAGCUCCGGCUAACUCCGUG